UGGGAUUACAGGCAUGAGCCACCGCGCCCGACCUAAUUUUUGUGGUUUUGGUAGAGGCAGGAUUUCUCCAUGUUGGCCAGGCAGGUCUCAAACUCCUCGCCUGAAGUGACCCCUCUACCUUGGCCUCCGAAAGUGCUGGGAUUACAGGCAUGAGUCACAGCACCUGGCCCUGUACAACUCUUAUAGUAAGAGCCUCAAAUAGAAAAUGUCAGAGCUGGUAUCUGGACAAGACUAUACAAAAUCUAUACCCGACAUCGCUGUAACACAAAACUUAUAUAACAACUUCAUUUAAAGAGACACUAACCUAUAUAAUAAUUCAUUUUGUGUGAGCUCUGAAAUCUUAGCAAAUGCAUCUGUGUGCUCAAAAUGCAAUGGGGAUGAACAGAGGAUGUUUAAGGGGUACAAAUAUAAGAAAUGAUAUAAGAAAUAAGGCCUAGUGUUUG
RNAcentral lists this long non-coding RNA (443 nucleotides) under Homo sapiens (human). RNAcentral's name for it is "non-protein coding lnc-RNASE2-1:1". Lineage: Eukaryota; Metazoa; Chordata; Mammalia; Primates; Hominidae. The record is from RNAcentral.